This is a long non-coding RNA of Octopus sinensis (East Asian common octopus), 602 nucleotides long. RefSeq lists it as uncharacterized. The record is from RefSeq and is a predicted model, not a curated record. The transcript is spliced from 4 exons. NCBI's taxonomy places the organism in Eukaryota, Metazoa, Mollusca, Cephalopoda, Octopoda, Octopodidae.
AAUGUUUAAUUCCAUGCUUUAACGAUGUAUUAAUAAACUCUUCUAUGGCAAUAAAUAUGUUUAUCUAACGGCUUCCCUUUACAGGUAAUACAAAACUCAAGUGCCAAAGCAAAUACGAAAAUUAACAGCCAUAUUAUUGCUGCAAGUAUUCCCAAUGUUAAUAUAACCAACCGUGAUGAACCAGUUACAAUAGCAUUCAAUGUAAUAGAUCCGAAUGCCACCAACCCACAAUGUGUCUAUUGGGACGAAUCCCCAGGGCGUAAUCCCCACUGGUCAGCAAAGGGCUGUGAUACAUCCGACUAUGAACCUGGAAAAAAAGUAUUUUGUACUUGUAACCAUCUUACAAGUUUUGCCAUGCUAAUGGAUGUCUACCAGAAUGAAAGAGAUGUAAAACAUAGUCAAAUGUUGUCUAUUCUUUCUAACAUUGGUUCCGGAAUAUCAUUUGUCUGUGUCAUUCUGACAGCAAUAGUUCAUGUUUAUUUCAAAAAUCUAUGGAAAUUAACGUCUUCCAAGGUUUUAGUAAACUUGUGCGUUUCUUUAGCUGCCACUUAUUUUAUCUUUCUUGUUGGGUUCCAAGAAUAUAGUACAAAAUAACAGCUGUU